GCAUUCUAACCACCAAAGGACAUAAGAGUCUGUUUCCUCAUAAACUUGGCAAUAGAAAAUGUGGUCAAACUUCUGUAUUUUGGCCAAUUAGGGCACAGCACUGACUCCUGGCUGUCUCCAGUUUCUGGAGCAUAAUGUGGCCUCAAUGGGGACUCUGAAGUGCUUCCUGGUCGCAGCGCAUUUUCAAGACCUUCAAUGUGGAGACCCUUCACCAGCUGAAGCAUGGCUGCCAGGGUCUGCCCUACCCCUCAAAAAAGACUCUCAGUUCUUAGGAGUUUCAACAUGUCUUAGAGCUUGACUAAACACUAAUCUCGAUUUCUGAAUUUUAGAAGCUCCACUGAGGCUGUCUGCAACAUGUGCUCUGGUACAAUGCAACUCCCCUCAAAACUGGACAGAAAGUCUGUUAUGCAAGCUCCCUGAGCCUUUGAGGUAACAAUGUAAGGAUUUCCACAGCUCCUCCAGUCUAAGUCCACUUCACAACACGUUGACAGUCAUGAGGAUGCCUGGCUGGUGACCAGGACAACGAUCAUCCAGGAUGUGAUCCAAGCCUCCCACACAAGCUCCUCAUAGCAUGACCAGAUGUUGGUUUUCCCAUAUGUUGCCACUGUUCUCACCCUAUACUACCCUUAUAGUGUGCAGCAUUACAGACAAAUGUAUAUUUUAUAAGGGAAAUUAACUCUAUAUAUGCCGAGCCCUCUCCAACCCCCACAUUGAUAGAGCUCCUCCAAGUCCCUCUCUUAUAAGGCACACUCUGUUACACAUACCUGUACCUUACAAACUCCUGGCUCCUACCUUCACGCCUACACACCUCCAUCCUCUAAGCACUGAGGAAACAAAGACCUCUCCAUUUACCAGCACCCAGAAUUAUAAAGAAUGAUAGCAAGACACUUGUUCUGGCCACACAGGCUUCUCCCAUUGCCCAGGUCUCACAGACCAGGCCAACUAUACUCAGGCAGCCCAGUGUCUGCACUCACUCAAAGCCCUGCUCCAUGGAACUCCCUUGACCACUGAGGGCUUGCUUGAUUUCUCCUCUUUUGAUCCCAUCUUCUAUUCUACUUGUGCCUGAAGUGUGUUUCUGAUUCUUAUUGGGAUCUGUGCUCUUCUCAGGCUGUACACUUCACCUUGAGCCAAGUCACCUACAUCUUUGGUGGCAACCAGUCCUUAUGGAUUAGGACUCCUUAUGACUUUUCACCCUCCACAGUACAUAGGCAAGUGCUGAGCAUACAGUGUUCAUUCAAUAGAUAUUUACUGAAUGGUUUGAUGUUCUGUAGAAAUUAAGUAUUCCCCAAAUAAAAUCCUACGAUGUACUGGGAGACUGUUCUCCGUGGGUCUCUUAUGCUUUGCAAGUUUUAUGAGGAGAGGCACUGCCAGCUUUUGUUCUAGAUUCCCUUUUCAAGGAUAUCUGUAUAAUGAAUGGCCUUGGAAAAGAUAGAUAGCGACCCCCCCAGAGUGAAAGGCAGGUUUGUUUGCUGCCCAGUGUGAUAAAGAUUAUGUCUCCCUCCAGGGUAAAAGCUGGGUAAGCUCACUUGCAGCCCAUUAUGAAAGACUGGGGGAUUUUAACCUCCAGGUUUCUCAGCUGUGAUGCACACCUGCUGAGUCCUCAGACCUGUCCUUGUGGAACAUGAGAGACAAGUGGAAACCACAGGAACAUGAAGCUCAGCCUGCUUGCUGUGUCUGGGCCAUCCAGAUGAAAGCAAAGAUGGCAGAGAUACUGGCACAUCAAAAUACAAAGAGUCACAAGAUAGAGAGGAAGCCAUCCAGAAUUGCUACCUGACCCACGCUGGAUAUUGAUUGGAGUCUUCCAGUUUUGCCAUCUGCUUCUUCACUGACGCUUCUGCUUUCUAAAGUGGAAUCUUACCAUCAGAUGAUAACAGUCAAAUACUCUAGCAGGACAAUGAUACCUCAUCGAAAUAUUAUGAAAAUUAAGUGACUCAGUGUAUGUGAAGUGCUUCUUCAUUUCCUUCAUAUGAAAAUACCAACUAAAAGAAAGAACUGGUAAGCUUAUUUCCUUGCUGAGUGGUUCAUCUCUUCCCAUGAAGACUCUUCAUAGAAACCAUGCUGGUGCCAGCUCACGCUAGACUGGGUUGAGACCCACCAGGGGUAGCACCAAACCUGCAGAGGGCUGGAUUUUCAUUCACCAUGGUCCAAAGGUCAAGAAGUGACCUACAACAAAGGCCAGAUGAUGCAUGCAUCCUGAAUUAUAUUCAAAGUAAACAUAAGCCUCGGAGAAAGAGGACUGGCAGUCCAACUGAUCACUCUGAUCUAGCUUAAGUUUCUGUACCAGAAACAAUGGUACAGAUAUUGUACCAAUUGUACCAAUCAUUGCUUUUUUUUUUCGAUCAUUCUAAAAUGGUAGGGUGUGAACCAGAGAUCUCCAAACUGUAGGCAUUACAUACUUGGAGAUGGAAUUCUUAAGAUUCUAUAUCAUGAGGCCACUGCAUGUGUGUCUGACCUGAUAAUGCUUUACUAUCCCACACAUUUAUUAUAUUUCACAUCACUGUCAAAACUAACCCUGAGAACUCAGAGAUUUUCACAGCCAUAGUGUAAAGCAAUAACAUUACCUCAGUAAUAACUAAUUAGAAAAUGUACUAACAACAAAUGAUAUUCCCAAUUAGCAACAAAAACAUAUGGUAUCUGGGAAUAAAUCCAAUAAAAGGACAGUAAGAACCACAUGGAGAAAACUUUGAAGUGUUAUAGAAAGAUCUUAAUAAAUAAGUGAAAUAUAACAUGUUCAUGGUUAAAAAGACUAUGUCACAAAGAUGCCAGUCUCCCCUAAAUUAAUCUUAUAAAUUCAAUGCAAAUUCAUUCUAGGAACCCUAAUAGAAUUUCUUUUGUAGAAAUUGACAAGUUGGCCUUAAAAUUCACAUGGAAGAGUAAAAAGCCAAGAGUAGUUAAGAUAUUUUAAAGAACAACUUGAGAGAGUUCUCCAUAUCAGAUAAGACAAAUCACAAAGCUAUAGGAAUCAGGAUGGUGUGAGAUAGACAAAGAGACAUCCAGAACAGGGAUAGUCCAGAUUCAUAUAUAUAUGAAAACAGAGGAGGCAUUGUGACGCAGUGGAGAAAGGAGCAGAUAUUUGAU
This is a long non-coding RNA of Canis lupus familiaris (dog), 3078 nucleotides long. RefSeq lists it as uncharacterized. NCBI's taxonomy places the organism in Eukaryota, Metazoa, Chordata, Mammalia, Carnivora, Canidae. The record is from RefSeq and is a predicted model, not a curated record. The transcript is spliced from 5 exons.